This 253-nucleotide ribosomal RNA is filed under the name uncultured bacterium. RNAcentral's name for it is "partial 16S ribosomal RNA". It matches the Rfam family "Bacterial small subunit ribosomal RNA", at positions 524 to 776 of the family's 1533-position model. The record is from RNAcentral.
UACGAAGGGGGCUAGCGUUGUUCGGAAUUACUGGGCGUAAAGCGCACGUAGGCGGAUAUUUAAGUCGGGGGUGAAAUCCCGGGGCUCAACCCCGGAACUGCCUUCGAUACUGGGUAUCUUGAGUUCGGAAGAGGUGAGUGGAAUUGCGAGUGUAGAGGUGAAAAUUCGUAGAUAUUCGCAGGAACACCAGUGGCGAAGGCGGCUCACUGGUCCGAUACUGACGCUGAGGUGCGAAAGCGUGGGAGCAAACAGG